Molecule: transfer RNA, 86 nt
Filed under: Bacteroidota bacterium
Lineage: Bacteria; Pseudomonadati; Bacteroidota
Description: Bacteroidetes bacterium tRNA-Leu
Rfam family: tRNA
About the family: Transfer RNA (tRNA) molecules are approximately 80 nucleotides in length. Their secondary structure includes four short double-helical elements and three loops (D, anti-codon, and T loops).
Source: RNAcentral
ACCCACGUGGCGGAAUUGGUAGACGCGCCAGGUUGAGGGCCUGGUGGCCGCUUUUGGCCGUGCUGGUUCGAGUCCAGUCGUGGGUA